This 497-nucleotide ribosomal RNA is filed under the name uncultured bacterium. Its description in RNAcentral is "partial 16S ribosomal RNA". It matches the Rfam family "Bacterial small subunit ribosomal RNA", at positions 28 to 507 of the family's 1533-position model. The record is from RNAcentral.
GACGAACGCUGGCGGCGUGCCUAAUACAUGCAAGUUGAGCGCUGAAGGUUGGUACUUGUAUCAACUGGAUGAGCAGCGGACGGGUGAGUAACGCGUGGGGAAUCUGUCUUUGAGCGGGGGACAACAUUUGGAAACGAAUGCUAAUAUCCCAUAUAAACUUUAAACACAAGUUUUAAGUUUGAAAGAUGCAAUUGCAUCACUCAAAGAUGAUCCCGCGUUGUAUUAGCUAGUUGGUGAGGUAAAGGCCCAACAAGGCGGUGUUACAUAGCCGACCUGAAAGGGUGAUCGGCCAAAAUGGGACUGGGGAACGGCCCAAGCUCCUUAGGGGGGGAACAAUAGGGAAACUUCGGCAAAGGGCGGAAGUCUGGACCCACAAAGCCGGGGGGGUGGAGGAGGUUGUCGGGUCGGAAAACUCUGUUGGUAGGGAAGGAAGGUGAUGAGGGUAAAAAGCUCAUGUAGUGACGGUAACUACACAGAAAGCAACGGCUAACUACGUG